This 2335-nucleotide long non-coding RNA is filed under the name Hordeum vulgare. RNAcentral's name for it is "long non-coding RNA (HVUL_LNC018260)". The record is from RNAcentral. Lineage: Eukaryota; Viridiplantae; Streptophyta; Magnoliopsida; Poales; Poaceae.
UUGAGAACUGCAUUCUAUCAUCAUGAUUAAAAAUACAUUGAUCAAUCCAAAAGAGAGACAAUAAUACUGCAACAUGUACAGUAAAUCUAGAGCACCUGACAUGUUGGCAUUAGCAUUUUUAAUAAAAGGGGGCAAUAUUAUGAGCUUACCUUCGGGAGCCAUUUGAUCUUCUCAGGACAGCCUCUUGAACUGCAAACAUAGAUGAGCAGAAAUUUUAGUUAGAUUAGACGAGAAGCAAUAUGAGAAUAGAAAGUGAGGAUUAGAACACCAAGCUAUGUGUGUUUGCAGACGAAACUACUCUAAAUUCAGAGCCAAAGCACCUCGAGCCCAGCUGCCAAGGGUAAAUCUAAAACCAAAAAAUAACAUUUCCCGAGCACAAUAUUUCAGCAAGCCAUGGGAUGAAUACACAUGUAACAACUACAAACUAAAACACUAACUCGAUUCGUCAUGAACUCGAAACAGGGAGAAGCCACAGGCCAAAACAAGCAUCUAAUUUCAUUCCGGAAUCUACCAACCAUGAUUAUCUCGCGCAAAGCACAAACAUCUCCUACACAUCUGGAAUACCAAUGGAUCGACGUCCCAUCCAUCCCACGGAGGUAUAUUCCCAAAUAUAAAUUAACACUCAGUAGACCAAUCAAAGACAACACAUUACAAUGACACAACUGAUGCAUUAACAAUGUAAGCCAACAAAGGUAUAUUUAUAGAAGGACACACAGGGAACUAAAAUAAAGACAGCGCAAGGGUACUCCCCAAUAGGCAAUUUAUUAUAGCAUCCUAUAACACAAAAUAUCAUGUAAAACAAUGUCAGUUCUUACUGUUACAAAAUGGAUAGCAUGAAGUAGCUACGAUUAUACUAUCGAAGAGUGCAUCAAUAAGAGUCAUGGAAAUUCUUAACUGCACUUCUAAACGAGGCUAUAAUAGAAUAACCUAGAUAGCAGACCUAAAUAAUCAUUACACUGAGAUGCAGUAUAAUUUACCACCCAAGACUGUAUAUAAACUAUUCAACAAUAAUAUUAGAACACAACGGACAACAUAUCUCAAGAAGUAAUAACGCUGAACAGAAUUCCAACAAGAUCUAUUAUUGACACGAUUCAACAGAUGAAACAUAACAUCUCAUAUAGAUCCACAAUUAAAAUAGAGUCUUCCACAACACGCAUCGACGGCAUCUUCUGCUCAGCCCUGAAAAACACCUGAUUCCAGUUAAGUUCAGUUUAAGGUCCUGAACUGGAACAUUGGACAAACACACAUGCAGAGAGAGAGAGAGAGAGGGUAUUCACGACAAUACAACAAUAAAUUUCAGUUUAAGUUCAGUUCAGUUAAGUUCAGUUUAAAUUCAGUUCAGAUGUAUUCACGACACUACAACAAUAAAUUUGGUUUAGAUGAGUGAAUUAAUAAAGUGCUAAAUUUCUCUUAUAACCUAGUGUAUUUUCAAGAAGAGAAAUACAAUAUUGAAUCAUGCGCUAAGUUAACCUAGAGAAGUAAAACAUAAUAUUUCAGACAUGAGAUCGCACAGACAUACCAAAAAUGACAAACAGAAACGGUGGAUAUAGGUAAAUAGCAAUGCCAUCUUCAUUUCUUUCUCACAUCAAGACGUGUCUAAUACGGAUCUUCCUAAGGUAGAGCAAGCCUAAAGUAGACCACAACAUAUAUAAGAAGCUUUUGGUGACCUGGAGUGGACUGUGGGACCAUAUUAGUACUGUAAUCCGUCAUGGAUGGCCAAGAUUUGCAUAUGGACGUACAUAAUACAUCUAAUUACAGAUCUACUCCGUAGAAGGGUACAGCAAACCCUAGGAUUAUCUCGUACGGAAAAAAUAUGGACACCCUAGCUGAACGAUCUAGCUCGAUCGGACCUACGUAGAACACAAAGAAAAAAAAGUAACGAUGUAAAUCUAGGUCUGGUCACCAGAAGCUCACACUUGAGAUGCACACGCAGUAGAUCCAAUCGGCAACCAGGUCUCAUUCAGAUCCGGAAGAAGCAAAGUAUACCUCACGCAGUUGACGCGCUUGCCACGUGAGAUCCGGCGCCUUCCCCCUCCCCCUGCGAGCACGGGACUCCUCACGCCGCUGCACGCACGCACCAUCGUGGGUGGCGGCGGUGUGGGCGGCGGCGAGGGAUAGGAGUUCGUGCGGAGGGACGAGAUGAGGGUUGGGUGUAUUCGAGUGAGAGAGAGCUCGUGGGCCGCUAGAGGAUGCACACGCCGGAUCUCACCGGACAGGAGCGAGUGGAGCUGACUUUUGGGAACCGAUGUCGGAGCGCCGGCCCUUGCACUCCAAUGGAACUUCAAAGUACCCACAUCUCAAACGAGGAAGAGGGAGAGUAAAACUACGCUCACAU